AUCCUUCCCUGGCAGGGGGGGCACCAUGGUCAUAAAGGUGAUUUUCCCAGGGUGAGGCACUCCCACGAAUGUGCUAAUUCCUGAGGUUCCUCUGCAUGUGGGAAGCUCUACUGCAUAGUUGGUGGUAGUGGAGGACUGUGUUUGCAUUUUCCCCUG
Molecule: small nuclear RNA, 156 nt
Organism: Sorex araneus (European shrew)
Lineage: Eukaryota; Metazoa; Chordata; Mammalia; Eulipotyphla; Soricidae
Product: U1 spliceosomal RNA
Exons: 1
Source: RefSeq, a predicted model, not a curated record